This 466-nucleotide ribosomal RNA is filed under the name uncultured bacterium. Its description in RNAcentral is "SSU rRNA". It matches the Rfam family "Bacterial small subunit ribosomal RNA", at positions 26 to 518 of the family's 1533-position model. The record is from RNAcentral.
AGGACGAACGCUGGCGGCGUGCUUAACACAUGCAAGUCGAACGAGGCCUUGUGCCUAGUGGCGAACGGGUGAGUAACACGUGAGCAACCUGCCCCUGGCUCUGGGAUAGCCUCCGGAAACGGGGAUUAAUACCGGACAUGACCUGCCUCCGCAUGGUGGCGGGUGGAAAGUUUUUCGGCCGGGGAGGGGCUCGCGGCCUAUCAGCUUGUUGGGGGGGUAACGGCCCACCAAGGCGACGACGGGUAGCCGGCCUGAGAGGGCGACCGGCCACGACUGGGACUGAGACACGGCCCAGACUCCUGCGGGAGGCAGCAGUGGGGAAUAUUGCACAAUGGGGGGAACCCUGAUGGCAGCGACGCCGCGUGCGGGAUGAAGGCCUUCGGGUUGUAAACCGCUUUCACCAGGGACGAAGCGGAAGUGACGGUACCUGGGAAGAAGCGCCGGCUAACUACGUGCCAGCAGCCGC